Molecule: long non-coding RNA, 1604 nt
Filed under: Heterocephalus glaber (naked mole-rat)
Lineage: Eukaryota; Metazoa; Chordata; Mammalia; Rodentia; Bathyergidae
Description: lncRNA (ENSHGLG00000039741.1)
Source: RNAcentral
UUCCCUCUCUAUAGGGUCUGUUAAGCACCCCCACCACUCACACACACACACACACACACACACACACACACACACACACACACAAACUUUUUUCCUCACCUCUGUAGGUUCUUCUCAUGCACAAUCCUUCGUUCAGCUUAGGGUCCUUCCUUUUUCUUUCCUUUCCCUCUUCCUUUUCCUCUCAGAGAAGCCAGUCCGUCAUGAUCAUACCUAGCCCCUCUCCCUCUCUCUCCCUCCCCCCUCCCUCUCUGUCUCUCCCCCUCCUUUUCUUUUACUAUUAAAAAUAAUAAUAAUAACACUGGCCCUUUCAACAUAGCAGCAUGAAGUGGCUGCCUUUAGAAAGCACAUUUAAUCUUUACUGGCUCCCCUAGGCUUCAGUGAAGAAGGAGAAGGCAAGGGAAAAAAAAAAAGAAGAGAGAGGAAAAAGAUUGUAAGGGAGGCUGCUGACGGACAGCAAGCAUCAGGCACAAAUCAGCGACAAGUUGAAUUUUCCUAGACCACACUGCCCCCUUUCUUCUCGGCUCUCUCCCUAGGCUCCUGGAAAGCCCGAGUGUCUGGUUACAGGAGUGUGUCUCAUCCCAGACUCACAGCACCGGAUGCACCAAAGCAUCUCCCUGACUACUAAUGAGACCAAAAAUACACCAGCAGGUCAGGGGAAAGGCCAGACAUUGUAUUAUACAAAUUCAAAAAAAUCCUCAGCCUGUUAGACCAAGAGAUCAGUGAGACCUGCAGAAGCUCGGCUGAAUGCCAAGGGAAAGGAGGAGAAAAGCAUAAAUGAGAAGGAGAAACAGAAGAGAAAAAUAGGAGAGAAGAGGAGGACAAACAGAGGCAAAAAAAAAAAAAAGAAUGACUUACAGGAUGUUGGAUUUUCUUUAAUACUUUUUUUUUUUCUUUUUGUCAUUAUUGGGAAGAAGAAAGAGACUGUUGUCAAGGGGUGGUGACUGGGUCAGAAUCUUUCAGAUUUGCCAGACAGGGUCUUUGCAGUAGACUGACAGAGAAAAAAGAAACAUGCUAGAAUAAUUAUAAAGGGUGGAGCUGUCAAAAAAUCUUUGACUCACUGGGUACCUCCCUGUAACGCCAAAAUGAAUCAUUCCUAACUAGAAUCAUCAAUUGUCUUAGUGUACUUGUAUAAUAAGGCCAAAGUAUAUGCCACUGUACCCAUUUUCAAAAAGGAAAGGUAAAUGAGAAUGAGAUUUCCUGACAUGCUUCUAACUUCUCUAUAUUUGUGACAAUACUUCAGCAUGAUUUUUAUAUACUAAGCGAAUUUUCCCUUGUCUGUCUUCACUCUGCUUACAAAGAUUUACAAAUAUAUGACUUAUGAAAGUUUUGCUAUGAACACAUCAUUUUCUCCAUACAACUCAGCGAUGUCUUUGGAGGAUACUUAUUUCAAGCAGUUAACACCUGACCCCAAUUUCUGUGGGUAAUUAGUGAGCUAGAUAACCACACAAAGUGGGUAAUUAUUUAGUACCCAAGGGUACACUAGAAGUGGGUAGUGGCUUUGUUAACAAAAGCAUAUUUCUAAUUAUUGUAUCUAUGAUGGGUGUUUUAAAAAUAUCAGUUACUGUAUUAAGUGAACCAUGAUAAAUAAGUGAACUAUUCUGCCG